RNAcentral lists this ribosomal RNA (733 nucleotides) under Arthrobacter sp. TFSAE3B. RNAcentral describes it as "bacterial SSU rRNA". It matches the Rfam family "Bacterial small subunit ribosomal RNA", at positions 45 to 790 of the family's 1533-position model. Lineage: Bacteria; Bacillati; Actinomycetota; Actinomycetes; Micrococcales; Micrococcaceae. The record is from RNAcentral.
UGCUUAACACAUGCAAGUCGAACGAUGAUGCCCAGCUUGCUGGGUGGAUUAGUGGCGAACGGGUGAGUAACACGUGAGUAACCUGCCCUUAACUCUGGGAUAAGCCUGGGAAACUGGGUCUAAUACCGGAUAUGACUCCUCAUCGCAUGGUGGGGGGUGGAAAGCUUUUUGUGGUUUUGGAUGGACUCGCGGCCUAUCAGCUUGUUGGUGAGGUAAUGGCUUACCAAGGCGACGACGGGUAGCCGGCCUGAGAGGGUGACCGGCCACACUGGGACUGAGACACGGCCCAGACUCCUACGGGAGGCAGCAGUGGGGAAUAUUGCACAAUGGGCGCAAGCCUGAUGCAGCGACGCCGCGUGAGGGAUGACGGCCUUCGGGUUGUAAACCUCUUUCAGUAGGGAAGAAGCGAAAGUGACGGUACCUGCAGAAGAAGCGCCGGCUAACUACGUGCCAGCAGCCGCGGUAAUACGUAGGGCGCAAGCGUUAUCCGGAAUUAUUGGGCGUAAAGAGCUCGUAGGCGGUUUGUCGCGUCUGCCGUGAAAGUCCGGGGCUCAACUCCGGAUCUGCGGUGGGUACGGGCAGACUAGAGUGAUGUAGGGGAGACUGGAAUUCCUGGUGUAGCGGUGAAAUGCGCAGAUAUCAGGAGGAACACCGAUGGCGAAGGCAGGUCUCUGGGCAUUAACUGACGCUGAGGAGCGAAAGCAUGGGGAGCGAACAGGAUUAGAUACCCUGG